UAUGUGACGACUUUUAGAGAUUUUUAUUUUGGAUUUUGUCAUCUUUUUUUAAUCUCUUCUAGAAGAGUGACGGCGGAGAUUUUUCCCUCGAGUGUCUCUAUGCCCUCUCUUCCUCUUUGUAAAUCUGUAUCGAAAUAUAAUAGAAAUUCACUAGUAAAAAUCUGUCGCACAGCCAUUAUAGUGCCACGGUAAAACCGUGGCUAAAUUAAAAAAGCCACGAUAAGUGUGUUGCUGAGUUAUUAUAUUAAAAAAAAAAAAAAAACAAAAACGCAAAUGUGUAUAGUUGUGCGCGUACGACGCGGUUGUUUUGUCUUUUUUAAAUAUAAAAGAUAAUUAAAAGUGAGUCCGUGUAACUCAUCCCCUCAUCAUCACAUAUAUCUAUAUAAAGAGGUCUUUCUUUCUCUCAAGUCAUCCAUUGCAGCUCUCAAGAACAAAAGAAAAAAUCAGAGAAUUCCAGAUCCUUCUUCUUCUCUACAAAUCACUCACCUGAUACUCCAGCAAGACUUCCGAAUAUAAUUGAUAAUGAUCUCCGUUGUAAUCAUCACUGGUCUACUAGUGGAGUACACAGCAGCUCUCGCAAAACUCACCGCAGGGAUUAUUCCGAGACGGCAAGGAGACAGCAACGUAGUACGAGUUGGUGGUUUCGUCUUGUCUUGUCCUUC
RNAcentral lists this long non-coding RNA (662 nucleotides) under Brassica napus (rape). RNAcentral describes it as "long non-coding RNA (BNAP_LNC006028)". The record is from RNAcentral. Lineage: Eukaryota; Viridiplantae; Streptophyta; Magnoliopsida; Brassicales; Brassicaceae.